UGCAAACGCACUCUGUGUCACUUUGAUAUUUAGCCUCAUGUGAUGACAAUUUGACAGUUUGCCAGAUAAAGGAGAUGCGUCUUAUCCAUGUGGUCAAGUUUACACCAUGUUGCUCACAUUGAAAACGCCCCUAACACCAU
Molecule: small nucleolar RNA, 140 nt
Organism: Drosophila gunungcola (fruit fly)
Lineage: Eukaryota; Metazoa; Arthropoda; Insecta; Diptera; Drosophilidae
Product: small nucleolar RNA psi18S-841/snoR66
Exons: 1
Source: RefSeq, a predicted model, not a curated record